GACGAACGCUGGCGGCGUGCCUAACACAUGCAAGUGGAGCGACGAACCAGGCUUCGGCCUGGGGCAAGGCCGCGAACGGGUGAGUAACACGUGGGUAACCUGCCCUGAUGAUUGGGACAACCCGAGGAAACUCGGGCUAAUACCGAAUGUGCCCUCCGGCCUCAAGGCCGCUGGGGAAAGGAAGCUUCGGCCUCCGCAUCGGGAUGGGCCCGCGGCCCAUUAGCUUGUUGGUGAGGUAACGGCUCACCAAGGCGACGAUGGGUAGCUGGUCUGAGAGGACGAUCAGCCACACUGGGACUGAGACACGGCCCAGACUCCUACGGGAGGCAGCAGUGGGGAAUCUUGCGCAAUGCGCGAAAGCGUGACGCAGCAACGCCGCGU
This 381-nucleotide ribosomal RNA is filed under the name uncultured bacterium. Its description in RNAcentral is "bacterial SSU rRNA". It matches the Rfam family "Bacterial small subunit ribosomal RNA", at positions 28 to 402 of the family's 1533-position model. The record is from RNAcentral.